RNAcentral lists this ribosomal RNA (250 nucleotides) under uncultured bacterium. RNAcentral's name for it is "partial 16S ribosomal RNA". It matches the Rfam family "Bacterial small subunit ribosomal RNA", at positions 57 to 305 of the family's 1533-position model. The record is from RNAcentral.
GCAAGUCGAGGGGUAACGAUGGAGCUUGCUCCAGGCGACGACCGGCGAACGGGUGAGUAACGCGUACACAACUUACCUCUAAGUGGGGGAUAGCCUCGGGAAACUGAGAUUAAUACCCCAUAGUAUUACUUUAUUAAUGAUUAAGUAAUUAAAGCUCAGGCGCUUAGAGAUGGGUGUGCGUCCCAUUAGCUAGUUGGUGAGGUAACGGCUCACCAAGGCGACGAUGGGUAGGGGGCGUGAGAGCGUGGCC